UGCAGAGGGAACACGACCAAGUAAAUACCAUCAACAUUCAGCUGCAGGUCAAAAACAACCAACUGAUCAACACUUAUAAUCAGCUCAAAAUUGAACUUGAUGGAGAGUGUCAUGAAGGAUGGAGAAGAUUUGGAUCCAGUUUUUACAGAAAAUUCACAAAGAGUAAAACUUGGUCUGAGAGCAGGAGGGAGUGUGAGAAAAGAGGAGCUGAUCUGGUGAUCAUAAACAGCAAAGAGGAGCAGGAUUUUGUGGGAAGACUGUACCCAAAUGAAACCUCCUGGAUUGGUCUGAAAUCGGAAUGGUCACCAAGUAAACAAACAUUUGAAUGGAAAUGGGUGGAUGGAUCACUACUGACAACAACGUUCUUGACUGCAGGAUGGUCUCAACAUCAGUACAACAAACGUGAAUAUGCUGCACUGUGUUGUACUACUGAAGGGAAAUUGACACAUUCACUUCACACUUCCACUAAUAACUGGAUCUGUGAGAAGCAAAUACAAGAUUUCUUUGUUGAAUCCUGAUUAACUUCAGAUAACAUUUGGUCACUUUCAUUUAUUGUGUUUCAUGUGUCAUUUAUAAAUGUGGUGAUUCUGAACUUCAUUAUGUGUACAGGGUAGUGAAGCUGUCAUCAGAACUACAGGAGAACUUUGCUGGAGUAAAAUAUAAUUAUUGUAAAUAAGUAUAAAUGCAGCUUUUCUUCAAUUUGUUUACUUGUGUUUUAAUUUGAUAUGUGAUGAAUGAAGA
Long non-coding RNA from Cololabis saira (Pacific saury), 741 nucleotides. RefSeq lists it as uncharacterized. NCBI's taxonomy places the organism in Eukaryota, Metazoa, Chordata, Actinopteri, Beloniformes, Belonidae. The record is from RefSeq and is a predicted model, not a curated record. The transcript is spliced from 4 exons.